GACGAACGCUGGCGGCGUGCUUAACACAUGCAAGUCGAACGGAAAGGCCCUGCUUUUGUGGGGUGCUCGAGUGGCGAACGGGUGAGUAACACGUGAGUAACCUGCCCUUGACUUUGGGAUAACUUCAGGAAACUGGGGCUAAUACCGGAUAGGAGCUCCUGCUGCAUGGUGGGGGUUGGAAAGUUUCGGCGGUUGGGGAUGGACUCGCGGCUUAUCAGCUUGUUGGUGGGGUAGUGGCUUACCAGGGCUUUGACGGGUAGCCGGCCUGAGAGGGUGACCGGCCACAUUGGGACUGAGAUACGGCCCAGACUCCUACGGGAGGCAGCAGUGGGGAAUAUUGCACAAUGGGCGGAAGCCUGAUGCAGCAACGCCGCGUGCGGGACGACGGCCUUCGGGUUGUAAACCGCUUUCGCCUGUGACGAAGCGUGAGUGACGGUAAUGGGUAAAGAAGCACCGGCUAACUACGUG
RNAcentral lists this ribosomal RNA (468 nucleotides) under uncultured bacterium. Its description in RNAcentral is "partial 16S ribosomal RNA". It matches the Rfam family "Bacterial small subunit ribosomal RNA", at positions 28 to 507 of the family's 1533-position model. The record is from RNAcentral.